Molecule: ribosomal RNA, 900 nt
Filed under: Eutypa petrakii var. hederae
Lineage: Eukaryota; Fungi; Ascomycota; Sordariomycetes; Xylariales; Diatrypaceae
Description: LSU rRNA
Rfam family: Eukaryotic large subunit ribosomal RNA
Source: RNAcentral
GCAUAUCAAUAAGCGGAGGAAAAGAAACCAACAGGGAUUGCCCUAGUAACGGCGAGUGAAGCGGCAACAGCUCAAAUUUGAAAUCUGGCCUUCGGGUCCGAGUUGUAAUUUGUAGAGGAUGCUUUUGGUGCAGUGCCUUCCGAGUUCCUUGGAACAGGACGCCUUAGAGGGUGAGAGCCCCGUACGGUUGGACACUAAGCCUCUGUAAAGCUCCUUCGACGAGUCGAGUAGUUUGGGAAUGCUGCUCUAAAUGGGAGGUAAAUUUCUUCUAAAGCUAAAUACCGGCCAGAGACCGAUAGCGCACAAGUAGAGUGAUCGAAAGAUGAAAAGUACUUUGAAAAGAGGGUUAAAUAGCACGUGAAAUUGUUGAAAGGGAAGCGUUUAUGACCAGACCUUUGCCGGGCGGAUCAUCCGGUGUUCUUCACCGGUGCACUUCGCCCGGCUUAGGCCAGCAUCGAUUUCUGGAGGGGGACAAAGACCAUGGGAACGUAGCUCCUCUCGGGGAGUGUUAUAGCCCUAGGUGUAAUACCCUUCCGGGGAUCGAGGUUCGCGCUUCUGCAAGGAUGCUGGCGUAAUGGUCAUCAACGACCCGUCUUGAAACACGGACCAAGGAGUCGAACAUUUAUGCGAGUGUUUGGGUGUUAAACCCUCACGCGUAAUGAAAGUGAACGGAGGUGAGAGCCCUCUUUUGGGUGCAUCAUCGACCGAUCCUGAUGUAUUCGGAAGGAUUUGAGUAAGAGCAUAACUGUUCGGACCCGAAAGAUGGUGAACUAUGCGUGGAUAGGGUGAAGCCAGAGGAAACUCUGGUGGAGGCUCGCAGCGGUUCUGACGUGCAAAUCGAUCGUCAAAUCUGCGCAUGGGGGCGAAAGACUAUCGAACCAUCUAGUAGCUGGUUACCGC